This 1058-nucleotide long non-coding RNA is filed under the name Phascolarctos cinereus (koala). RNAcentral's name for it is "lncRNA (ENSPCIG00000022087.2)". Lineage: Eukaryota; Metazoa; Chordata; Mammalia; Diprotodontia; Phascolarctidae. The record is from RNAcentral.
GGGGGGGGGAGAUCCAAAGAAAGGCAAGAAGGAAGGAAGCAAAGGAGGCAGGGAAGACAGAGAGAAAAGGGGUAGGGGAAGGAGGUGGAAGAAGGAGAUAAAGAACAAGGGAGCGAAAGAGACAUCGCGUCUGCGAAUCCCCGGGAGCUGAAUUACAGCGCAUCUCUUGUUCACAUCUCUAACUCAAAAGCAUCCCGUUCUCCCCGGAAACCACUCUUCUUUUCUCCAAGCUCGCAGUUUGUGGAAUGUAAAGCGAGUACUGCAAUGCAGCUCAGUGUCUUCUCCCAGAAUGGAGCAGAGAGUUAAGCGACGGUGUGUAGGGGAAUGAGGGAGUAGAGAAAAGGAGAAGGAGACUGGGGGGUGGGAGGGUGGAGGGAAGGGAGGCGGUGGGGAGCUGCCUGAGGCAGACCACUCUAUAUCUGCCAUUUUUUAAAAAAUCAAAAUAAAUAAUCAAAAUAGCACUUGUUCCUUCUAUUUAAAAAUCGAAAUCAUAUCAAUCCACUAGAGUAGCCCAGUCCCUUCUAGGGAAAUCAGAAUCCUGGGAGUCCCCACCUAAGCCGGCUCCCUUUACCAAAAGGAGAGGAAAAGGACAUGCAAUUUAUAUGCCACCGCGAAAUAAAUCCGGUUACAAAACUUGCUCUUUUUUUUUUCCUUUCUUCCUUUUUUUUUUUUCAGGGAUGGGGGAGAUAUUUUACCUUCCAUUGCUGCAACUGCAGAUGCCAAGAGGAAAAGCAUUAAAGAAUCCAGUGCCAUCGUCUUUCUUUACUUUAAAUAUUCCCUGGAUCCCCUGCCGAGGAGUUGAUGGAGCUGUGAAACAGGAGCUACAUUUGGAGUCAGAAAACCUACAUUCAAAUACAGCUUUGACACCUACCACCUUGGGCAAGUCGCUUACUAUCUCUAGGCCUCAGUUUCCUCAUCUGUAAAAUGAGGGAGUUGGACAAGAAGAUGUUUAAGGUCAGUUCUAGCUCAGAGUCUAUGAAUUUCCAUUGUAGACUUCAUCUUUCUGGAUGACACAUCCCCUUGCAGUGUCAACCCUAUCAUUUUUUCCUAAUUUUACA